Rosa chinensis is the source of this 1199-nucleotide long non-coding RNA. RefSeq lists it as uncharacterized. The transcript has 2 exons. The record is from RefSeq and is a predicted model, not a curated record. NCBI's taxonomy places the organism in Eukaryota, Viridiplantae, Streptophyta, Magnoliopsida, Rosales, Rosaceae.
AGGUGAUCCGGAGAGCCGGGCUUUCUCCUUCGUGCUUAAAUCAAGCCCAGUUGUAUUUCUUGCCUCUAGCUCAUCAGAAACAUUAUCACCUGUUCUUGAUCUCCAGCGCAGAGUUAGAAGGGACUCUUCAUUUCUUGUUUUAUCAAUCGCGACCAAAUCAGAAACUGACAGAGGCUUCUCAAUUUCUUUGCUGCUGCAGAUUGAGCAUCCAGUACGACGAGCGACUGGUGGUGUGCAAAGUUAGCGUGAUCCAUUUUGAUCUCGAGUACGGUUCGAGUCCCUUUGUGUAUCGGCUAAUUCAAUUAAUCUCUAUCUUGUAUGUAGCUUAAUUGUUGUCCUGUUUGCGAUCACACCACUGCUUCAAUUAAAAGUAAUUGCCACCAUUCUUUGCCUUCUUCUUUCUUUUGAUUCAAUAUUGGUACUUGUAUGGUUUGCUUUGGAAGUGGUGGAUGGUAGACAGAAGGCUCUUUAGUUGUGGCUGGUAUUUCUGAUUGGUCGACCAUAGUUGUUUUCAAAAGGAUAUAUGGGUUGUUCAAAGCAAGCUUUUUAGUUCUCUGUCAAAGAAGACAAGAAUAGCAUGACGUCCUGAGCUUCUCCCCUGCAGCUUAGCUUGUCUCUUUAUCUCGGCUGAACUUCAACAAUUGAUUGCUGCUUGCUGAUUUUUGAAUUGAAAUGACAUUUGCAGCAACCAACUUCCACGUUUGAAGCCUCUGGUGGGUUUUGUCAAUUCAAACCUCAUUUGCCUUGUCCAGAUCUUUCGUCUGUAGGAGGUACAUAGCAGCCAUCCUCUAUCCCGAAUGGAUAUAAAACUGCGAGAUUGAGCUGCUAGUAAUGGUAAUUGGAAUAAUAGGAAGAAAUUGCUUCUAGUAAUGGUAACAGGAAUGCACCUCUUAGUCAUAUGUAGAAACCGAAUCCUUUAUAGAAAUUACUGGUAUGCUUGAAGUAUGCCUCUUAUUGAACAAGCGGUUAAGUAGCUGAUCCAAUCCUAUAAUUUCCUGGACGCAGCAUUGCUUGGUUGCCCCAUGCUUGGAGGGGAAACUUGGCCUUGGUCUCUUUUGGCUGGAAAGUGUUCAUUUGUAUUGAAUAUUUGGUCUCCUUUCUUUGUUCAUCUAACUAUUCUUUGUUCAUCCAAUCCUAUAAUUUCCUGGACGCAGCAUUACUUACUUUUGAUCAGACAUUGUUGGUCUGUUUUUUGGUUU